GCCCUGAGCUCCCGGAGCCCUGGUGCUCCAUCUGAGAGCAGCCCGCUGGUCCUCCUGCCUCCUCCCCCCCCCCGCCGAUAUCCAAACUCAGUCCGUCAGUCGGGAGGAUGGAAAAGAGAAAAAAAAAAAAAGAUGAGAGAGGAAUGUGACGUAGAAGUUUUAAUUACCGGGAAAAGUAAAGUUAUAUAGGACCAAGCGGCUUCCCGUGCGUCUGCGUCCCCCCCAGCCGCUGGACACGCUCUGCGGUGUCAGGUACCGGAGUUCAGGCGCACCGGGGAGAGGGAGAGCCGCGUCAAGCCAGCCGGAGACAGCACCGGAGAUACUCGGCUUUUACCUUCACAUUAAGACAGCCCAAUCCCGGAAGCUACACUCUACAAUCUACUGUCGCCUUGAUAAAUACUCAUAAUAAUUUGAUAAACAUCUGUUAGCUUACCUCAUCGGCUAACCUAAGUCACGUAAUACUGCAAACAAUUUUCGCAACACUUUAAGCUAGUUUUAGAAACUGCCAAGAUUUUCUAGCUAACGUUCCUCAAUUAAUGAUAUGUUAUACAUCUCUAUUCUUGCCUUUUUUUUUUCUAAAUCUCAGCUUUCAUCAAAUUAGUAUUAAUGAGAAAACAUAGCAAUUUAGUAACUUUUAAGAACAAAUAAGAAAGGUCUCUCUUAAAAAAAAUGGCUGCCGGAAACAAAACCGUUAGGAGGAGCAGAGGACAGGACUUUGUUUCCUUGGCAACCAAGAAAUUAGCUGCGGAGGCUACUCAACCACAGCAAUGUCUGUCACCCCCCAAAAAACAACGAUUUGUCGGUGUCACUCGACUGUGGAACCGCCCCAUGUUACAGGCUAAUGCGUCCCCUCACCCCGUCUGUGAACCCAUCUCCUGCCUUCAGCCAGUUGUGCCUGUGAUCCACCGGUCACGCCAUCUCCCCGACUAGGUACACACACUUACAGCGUGCACACACAGGCACGAAAACACAAGCACAAAUGAAGCUUAUUGCUGUGUGCUCUGAGAGAGAAAGAGGAGACUGGCUGACAUGUGGGGUUGUAUUUCAGAGCUGAGGCGUGUAAGAGAAGAUUUUUUAUUGUUAAUCUGUUUCCCUCCCCGGUUAAAAGUUGCAGGACUCGCAGCUCCACACAGUGUUCAGUCUGAGUCACUGCACUCGUUUCCUUCUGGGACCUUAACUUAAAUUAUUCAUGUUUGUAAAGGGAUGAGCUGCCAAAGACCCUGAAACUCACCAUUGUGUCUGAG
RNAcentral lists this long non-coding RNA (1244 nucleotides) under Sparus aurata (gilthead seabream). RNAcentral's name for it is "lncRNA (ENSSAUG00010009679.1)". The record is from RNAcentral. Lineage: Eukaryota; Metazoa; Chordata; Actinopteri; Spariformes; Sparidae.